This 1257-nucleotide ribosomal RNA is filed under the name Lacticaseibacillus rhamnosus. Its description in RNAcentral is "bacterial SSU rRNA". It matches the Rfam family "Bacterial small subunit ribosomal RNA", at positions 216 to 1475 of the family's 1533-position model. Lineage: Bacteria; Bacillati; Bacillota; Bacilli; Lactobacillales; Lactobacillaceae. The record is from RNAcentral.
UACCCUGGGGGGGGCCCGGGGGUUUUGGUUGGUGGGGGGGUACCGCUCACCAAGGCAAUAAAAGAAGCGAAAUGAGAGGUUCCUCGCCCCCUUGGGACGGAGCCCCGCCCCAAAUUUCUAGGGGAGGCAGCAGUAGGAAUUCUUCCACAAUGGACGCAAGUUUGAGGAGCAACGCCGCGUGAAGAAAGAAUGCUUUCGGGUCGUAAAACUCCGUUGUUGGAGAAGAAUGGUCGGCAGAGUAACUGUUGUCGGCGUGACGGUAUCCAACCAGAAAGCCACGGCUAACUACGUGCCAGCAGCCGCGGUAAUACGUAGGUGGCAAGCGUUAUCCGGAUUUAUUGGGCGUACAGCGAGCGCAGGCGGUUUUUUAAGUCUGAUGUGACAGCCCUCGGCUUAACCGAGGAAGUGCAUCGGAAACUGGGAAACUUGAGUGCAGAAGAGGACAGUGGAACUCCAUGUGUAGCGGUGAAAUGCGUAGAUAUAUGGAAGAACACCAGUGGCGAAGGCGGCUGUCUGGUCUGUAACUGACGCUGAGGCUCGAAAGCAUGGGUAGCGAACAGGAUUAGAUACCCUGGUAGUCCAUGCCGUAAACGAUGAAUGCUAGGUGUUGGAGGGUUUCCGCCCUUCAGUGCCGCAGCUAACGCAUUAAGCAUUCCGCCUGGGGAGUACGACCGCAAGGUUGAAACUCAAAGGAAUUGACGGGGGCCCGCACAAGCGGUGGAGCAUGUGGUUUAAUUCGAAGCAACGCGAAGAACCUUACCAGGUCUUGACAUCUUUUGAUCACCUGAGAGAUCAGGUUUCCCCUUCGGGGGCAAAAUGACAGGUGGUGCAUGGUUGUCGUCAGCUCGUGUCGUGAGAUGUUGGGUUAAGUCCCGCAACGAGCGCAACCCUUAUGACUAGUUGCCAGCAUUUAGUUGGGCACUCUAGUAAGACUGCCGGUGACAAACCGGAGGAAGGUGGGGAUGACGUCAAAUCAUCAUGCCCCUUAUGACCUGGGCUACACACGUGCUACAAUGGAUGGUACAACGAGUUGCGAGACCGCGAGGUCAAGCUAAUCUCUUAAAGCCAUUCUCAGUUCGGACUGUAGGCUGCAACUCGCCUACACGAAGUCGGAAUCGCUAGUAAUCGCGGAUCAGCACGCCGCGGUGAAUACGUUCCCUGGCCUUGUACACACCGCCCGUCACACCAGAGAGUUGUUACAUUUAAAGCCGCUGGGGUAACUAAGUAGGGACAGAGCACUGUAAUAGAGUGCCGUCC